Molecule: long non-coding RNA, 510 nt
Organism: Octopus sinensis (East Asian common octopus)
Lineage: Eukaryota; Metazoa; Mollusca; Cephalopoda; Octopoda; Octopodidae
Exons: 3
Source: RefSeq, a predicted model, not a curated record
GUUGCUACCAAAAGGGUUAAACUUUGUCUUUCAUCCUUUAUCGCUUGAAAUAAGUACCACUGUAGUAUUGGGGAGCAAUGUAAUCCACUUGACUUCAAAAUCAUCUGAAGACUAUUGUCUUCGUUAGAAGCUAUUAAUUAGUGCACCAGAAGGUAGCAAGCUUGCAGAAUCAUUAGCACAUCUUUAUGUUUUGAGUUCAUAUUCUGCUGAGGUUGACUUUGCCUUUUAUCCUUUUGUGGUUGACUACCAGUUAAGCUCUGGGGUUGAUGUAAUCGACUUAAUCCUUGCCUGCCCACCCCUGGUGAAGAAGCAGAAGCUGAAAAAGCAUCAGAUAUGAUGCCACAGAUUUACUGAGACAUGUCCCCUUUAUGUUCCGAGUUCAAAUCCUGCCAAAGUCGACUUUGCCUUUCAUCCUUACAGGUGUUGAUAAACUAAAGCACCAGUUAAAUUACUGGGGUCAGUUUAAAUGACCAACGUACUCCUCCCAACAUACUGACCUUGACCCUCUGU